Molecule: ribosomal RNA, 253 nt
Filed under: uncultured bacterium
Lineage: Bacteria
Description: partial 16S ribosomal RNA
Rfam family: Bacterial small subunit ribosomal RNA
Source: RNAcentral
UACGAAGGGGGCAAGCGUUGUUCGGAAUUAUUGGGCGUAAAGGGUGUGUAGGCGGAUCGUUAAGUGCCUUGUGAAAUCCCACGGCUUAACCGUGGAACUGCUUGGCAUACUGGCGGUCUUGAGCAACCUAGGGGCUACCGGAACAAAUGGUGGAGCGGUGAAAUGCGUAGAUAUCAGGAGGAACACCGGUGGUGUAGACGGCUUUCUGGACCGUAACUGACGCUGAGACACGAAAGCGUGGGUAGCAAACAGG